The sequence is a transfer RNA, 70 nucleotides long. It matches the Rfam family "tRNA". From Rfam's summary of the family: Transfer RNA (tRNA) molecules are approximately 80 nucleotides in length. Their secondary structure includes four short double-helical elements and three loops (D, anti-codon, and T loops).
GCCCCUGUAGCUCGACUAAAGCGCGCUUCUGACUAAGGCGAAGAUGCGGGUUCAAACCCGGCCGGGGGCG